RNAcentral lists this long non-coding RNA (2267 nucleotides) under Salmo salar (Atlantic salmon). RNAcentral describes it as "lncRNA (ENSSSAG00000105503.1)". The record is from RNAcentral. Lineage: Eukaryota; Metazoa; Chordata; Actinopteri; Salmoniformes; Salmonidae.
AAGAAAGGCAAUUUACACUUUAACUAUUCACUAACCAUGCAAACUGAAUGCCUAAAUAAACCUUUCUCUGUGAAUGAGAUACUUUUUGUCAUGUUUAAUUUUUUUUAAAUAAUAAUCACUCUGUCUGACUGAGGGAUUAUUAUGGUGUUAUUAUGGUGUUAUUAUGGUGUUACUCAGUGAUUAUUAUGGUGUUACUCAGUGAUUAUUAUGGUGUUACUCAAUGAUUAUUAUGGUGUUACUCAGUGAUUAUUAUGGUGUUAUUAUGGUGUUAUUAUGGUGUUACUCAGUGAUUAUUAUGGUGUUACUCAGUGAUUAUUAUGGUGUUACUCAGUGAUUAUUAUGGUGUUAUUAUGGUGUUAUUAUGGUGUUACUCAGUGAUUAUUAUGGUGUUACUCAGUGAUUAUUAUGGUGUUACUCAGUGAUUAUUAUGGUGUUAUUAUGGUGUUAUUAUGGUGUUACUCAGUGAUUAUUAUGGUGUUACUCAGUGAUUAUUAUGGUGUUAUUAUGGUGUUAUUAUGGUGUUACUCAGUGAUUAUUAUGGUGUUACUCAGUGAUUAUUAUGGUGUUAUUAUGGUGUUACUCAGUGAUUAUUAUGAUGUUACUCAGUGAUUAUUAUGGUGUUACUCAGUGAUUAUUAUGGUGUUAUUAUGGUGUUAUUAUGGUGUUAUUAUGGUGUUACUCAGUGAUUAUUAUGAUGUUACUCAGUGAUUAUUAUGGUGUUACUCAGUGAUUACUAUGUGAUUAUUAUGGUGUUAUUAUGGUGUUAUUAUGGUGUUACUCAGUGAUUAUUAUGGUGUUACUCAGUGAUUAUUAUGGUGUUAUUAUGGUGUUACUCAGUGAUUAUUAUGAUGUUACUCAGUGAUUAUUAUGGUGUUACUCAGUGAUUAUUAUGGUGUUAUUAUGGUGUUAUUAUGGUGUUACUCAGUGAUUAUUAUGGUGUUACUCUGAUUAUUAUAGUGUUAUUAUGGUGUUAUUAUGGUGUUACUCAGUGAUUAUUAUGGUGUUACUCAGUGAUUAUUAUGGUGUUACUCAGUGAUUAUUAUGGUGUUACUCAGUGAUUAUUAUGGUGUUACUCAGUGAUUAUUAUGAUGUUACUCAGUGAUUAUUAUGGUGUUACUCAGUGAUUAUUAUGAUGUUACUCAGUGAUUAUUAUGGUGUUACUCAGUGAUUAUUAUGUUGUUACUCAGUGAUUAUUAUGAUGUUACUCAGUGAUUAUUAUGGUGUUACUCAGUGAUUAUUAUGGUGUUACUCAGUGAUUAUUAUGAUGUUACUCAGUGAUUAUUAUGGUGUUACUCAGUGAUUAUUAUGGUGUUACUCAGUGAUUAUUAUGAUGUUACUCAGUGAUUAUUAUGAUGUUACUCAGUGAUUAUUAUGGUGUUACGCAGUGAUUAUUAUAUUGGUACUCAGUGAUUAUUAUAUUGUUACUCAGUGAUUAUUAUGGUGUUACUCAUUGAUUAUUAAGGUGUUACUCAGUGAUUAUUAUGAUGUUACUCAGUGAUUAUUAUGGUGUUACUCAGUGAUUAUUAUGGUGUUACUCAGUGAUUAUUAUGGUGUUACUCAGUGAUUAUUAUGAUGUUACUCAGUGAUUAUUAUGAUGUUACUCAGUGAUUAUUAUGGUGUUACUCAGUGAUUAUUAUGAUGUUACUCAGUGAUUAUUAUGGUGUUACUCAGUGAUUAUUAUGAUGUUACUCAGUGAUUAUUAUGAUGUUACUCAGUGAUUAUUAUGGUGUUAUUCAGUGAUUAUUAUGGUGUUACUCAGUGAUUAUUAUGAUGAUACUCAGUGAUUAUUAUGGUGUUACUCAGUGAUUAUUAUGAUGUUACUCAGUGACACCAUUAUAUUGUUACAUGCAACAGUCAGGUGUGUCUUGAGCUAUUCUGGUGGCUCAUUAUGAGACUGUGGAACAAUGAUUGUCAGAACAAUGGCUGCCUGGGCGGAUACACUGCCAAUCCAGUUCUGUCAGUUUGGCGCCUGGCAGCAUAUACACACGUUGACAUGCACAAAUAAUACCACUCCUGUUUACCUGGCAUUUAAACUGGGCAAAGGCAAGUGCUGAGAGACAUUCCCCACAUAUAUUGUCCCAUUAGUCAAUCAAAAUAUGACAACUUUAUAAUAUAGCCCAUGCCAGGGGCCCAUCUGGAACAUUCUUAUAUGACAGACAUACUAUUGGCAUUGUUUGGUCACAGGGAAAGAACACAUGAAAACAGAGACAGAUGUGUGAGAAAGAGAGGACAGGGAAAGAGAGAACACAUGAAAACAGAAAGAGAUG